RNAcentral lists this ribosomal RNA (253 nucleotides) under uncultured bacterium. Its description in RNAcentral is "partial 16S ribosomal RNA". It matches the Rfam family "Bacterial small subunit ribosomal RNA", at positions 524 to 776 of the family's 1533-position model. The record is from RNAcentral.
UACGUAGGUGGCAAGCGUUGUCCGGAAUUAUUGGGCGUAAAGCGCGCGCAGGCGGUCCUUUAAGUCUGUCGUGAAAGCCCCGGGCUCAACCUGGGAAUGGCGAUGGAUACUGGCGGGCUAGAGUGCGGUAGAGGGUGGUGGAAUUCCCGGUGUAGCAGUGAAAUGCGUAGAGAUCGGGAGGAACAUCAGUUGCGAAGGCGGCCACCUGGACCAGCACUGACACUGAGGCACGAAAGCGUGGGGAGCAAACAGG